RNAcentral lists this ribosomal RNA (501 nucleotides) under uncultured bacterium. Its description in RNAcentral is "partial 16S ribosomal RNA". It matches the Rfam family "Bacterial small subunit ribosomal RNA", at positions 29 to 523 of the family's 1533-position model. The record is from RNAcentral.
AAUGAACGCUGGCGGCAGGCUUAACACAUGCAAGUCGAGCGGAGAUAAGGUGCUUGCACCUUAUCUUAGCGGCGGACGGGUGAGUAAUGCUUAGGAAUCUGCCUAUUAGUGGGGGACAACAUUCCGAAAGGAAUGCUGAUACCGCAAACGUCCUACGGGAGAAAGCAGGGGAUCCUCGGACUUAGCGCUAUUAGAUGAGCCUAAGACGGAUUAGCGAGUUGGUGGGGUAAAGGCCUACCAAGACGACGAUCUGUAGCGGGUCGGAGAGGAUGAUCCGCCACACUGGGACUGAGACACGGCCCAGACUCCUACGGGAGGCAGCAGUGGGGAAUAUUGGACAAGGGGGGGAACCCUGAUCCAGCCAUGCCGCGUGUGUGAAGAAGGCGUUAUGGUUGUAAAGCACUUUAAGCGAGGAGGAGGCUACUGAGACUAAUACUCUUGGAUAGUGGACGUUACUCGCAGAAUAAGCACCGGCUAACUCUGUGCCAGCCGCCGCCGUAA